GCUUCCCUGGGGAUGGGGGAGGGGGCUUCUCUCAUAUUCCCUGGUUACCUAGCAACUUGUCUCCUUGCAGACAAGUCACCGCCCCUGCAGAGAUGCUGGCUAAUGUGCACACAACAAAGGGAAAGUGACACCACCACUCCAGUUCCCCCCUUGGAAGGCCUCCCUGUUCAUUAGCACUGUGAUAAGUGGCUUGCUAUGGGCAGGCCCUCCCCUGACACCCCUCCCACCUCCGGAUUAAGCCAGCCACACUGCUCCUCCUGGGGAUCUUGGAGAGAUGGCAGCUUGUCAAGCUCCUGAGACACUGGGCAUCCUAGACACACGCGACAGCCUCCAAAAUGGGAGAAGACACCUUCUCCAGGAAAUGUCCCAAGCUCUGCAUAUGGUCCAGAAGCCCACCCUUAAAGCAGCCACUGACAAGGAAAAUGGGAUUAUCCGGAUUGGCUCAAGGAAAUCCUCAUUUACCCCUGGAUGGAAACUAAAGUGACCAACACAGAGCAUGAGAGGCCGCAGUAUGAACACACCUCCUCUACCUGCCGUCUUAAGAGCUCUGGAACUCAGAACACAAGUCUAGUGUUGUCCCUCGACAGAUGUGUGUGACUUUGUGUCUGGCAAACUAUGUGCUUCAUAGAGGCUUUUCUCCAUUUCGGAGCAACUUUUGCAAGGUAGGCAGAUAAGAUGCUUAUACCAGAGCCACUGCUCCCUCUGCAUCGUAGGCAAAAUGCGAGGAGACGGGGAGGAAAGGGGCAAAGCACGGGUAAGUAAUGCACGUAUUAAUUCAGUUUAAAGUUCUGAAGUUGAGCAACAAUAUACAGAAUGAGAAAGUGGUAGGCACUUCAGUCUUUGGCAAAAUUUAAAACUCAAAUGUGGGGAUGCCUGGGUGGCUCAGUGGCUGAGCAUCUGCCUUCGGCCCAGGGCGUGAUCCCGGGGUCCUGGGAUCGAGUCCCACAUCGGGUUCUCCUCCCUCUGCCUGUAUCUCUGCCUCUCUCUUUCUCUCUCUCUCUCUCAUGAAUAAAUAAAUAAAAUCUUUAAAAAUAAUGAUAAAA
RNAcentral lists this long non-coding RNA (1043 nucleotides) under Vulpes vulpes (red fox). Its description in RNAcentral is "lncRNA (ENSVVUG00000021433.1)". Lineage: Eukaryota; Metazoa; Chordata; Mammalia; Carnivora; Canidae. The record is from RNAcentral.